UGGGACGUAGCUCAAUUGGUAGAGCACCAGACUCUGGCUCUGGGUGUUCGGGGUUCAAAACCCUGCGUCCCAGCCA
This 76-nucleotide transfer RNA is filed under the name Candidatus Altarchaeales archaeon. Its description in RNAcentral is "tRNA-Gln". It matches the Rfam family "tRNA". Rfam says of the family: Transfer RNA (tRNA) molecules are approximately 80 nucleotides in length. Their secondary structure includes four short double-helical elements and three loops (D, anti-codon, and T loops). Lineage: Archaea; Nanobdellati; Candidatus Altarchaeota; Candidatus Altarchaeia; Candidatus Altarchaeales. The record is from RNAcentral.